RNAcentral lists this ribosomal RNA (423 nucleotides) under uncultured bacterium. RNAcentral describes it as "partial 16S ribosomal RNA". It matches the Rfam family "Bacterial small subunit ribosomal RNA", at positions 360 to 776 of the family's 1533-position model. The record is from RNAcentral.
AAUAUUGGACAAUGGGCGCAAGCCUGAUCCAGCCAUACCGCGUGGGUGAAGAAGGCCUUCGGGUUGUAAAGCCUUUUAGUUGGGAAGAAAAGCAGUCUGCUAAUACCCGGCUGCUCUGCCGGUACCAAAAGAAUCAGCUACGGCUAACUCCGUGCCUGCCGCCGCAGUAAUACGAAAGGUGCAAGCGUUACGCGUAAUUACUGGGAGUAAAGCGUGCGGAGGUGGGUGUUUAAGUCUGUUGUGAAAGCCCUGGGCUCAACGUGGGAAUUGCAGUGGAUACUGGGCGACUAGAGUGUGGUAGAAGGUAGUGGAAUUCCCGGUGUAGCAGUGAAAUGCGUAGAGAUCGGGAGAAACAUCCAUGGCGAAGGCAGCUACCUGGACCAACACCGACACUGAGGCACGAAAGCGUGGGGAGCAAACAGG